CUCCUACUCUGAUACCCAGAGGUAUCGACUUGGACCAAACUAUUUGCAACUUCCUGCUAAUGCUCCAAAGUGUGCUCAUCACAACAAUCACUACGAUGGCUCCAUGAAUUUUAUGCACAGGGAUGAGGAGGUACUUUCUCUCUCCUUCUAUAACAGUACAUAUCCAUAUUUGAUUGAGAUUUUGUGCUCAUCACAACAAUCACUAUGAUGGCUCUAUGAAUUUUAUGCACAGGGACGAGGAGGUACUUUCUAUCUCCUGUAACAGUACAUAUACAUGUUUGAUUGAGAUUUUGCUAAAGAGUUCAAGUUCUUACAAGUUAUAAAAUUGUUUUGCACCAUCAGGUUAAUGUUCUUUAUUUUUACCACGUAUAACAAUAAGGCACUACUUUUCAUAGCAAAGGUGAUGUAGUAACUUAGUUAAUGCAUGGUUAAUUACAGAUCGACUACUUCCCUUCAAGGUAUGAUCCUGUUCGCCAUGCUGAGAAGUAUCCAAUUCCUUCUACAAUGUGCACUGGAAAACGCGAGAAGGUUUGUUCCUUUCUACCUUUUAUCUAAUAAUGCUUGAAGCUGAACUAAAACUACAAAUUUUGAUCAGUGCAAAGUUGACACCCUGAAUCGAUCCAGUGGCCCAAACAACUUAAGUAGAUAUCCAGGAGAUGCUUAUUGUAUUGUCCUUAAUCCAACAAAAGACUUAUUUUAACUGUUGUUCUGCU
This 713-nucleotide long non-coding RNA is filed under the name Nicotiana benthamiana. RNAcentral's name for it is "long non-coding RNA (NBEN_LNC010794)". The record is from RNAcentral. Lineage: Eukaryota; Viridiplantae; Streptophyta; Magnoliopsida; Solanales; Solanaceae.